Molecule: transfer RNA, 98 nt
Filed under: Lentinula edodes (shiitake mushroom)
Lineage: Eukaryota; Fungi; Basidiomycota; Agaricomycetes; Agaricales; Omphalotaceae
Description: tRNA-Ser
Rfam family: tRNA
About the family: Transfer RNA (tRNA) molecules are approximately 80 nucleotides in length. Their secondary structure includes four short double-helical elements and three loops (D, anti-codon, and T loops).
Source: RNAcentral
GUCACUUUGCCGGAGUGGUUAACGGGAUCGCCUGCUACCUUUCAGUAGUCAAAAGCGGUUGGGCUUUGCCCGCGUGUGUUCGAAUCGCACAGGUGACG